Molecule: long non-coding RNA, 511 nt
Filed under: Equus caballus (horse)
Lineage: Eukaryota; Metazoa; Chordata; Mammalia; Perissodactyla; Equidae
Description: lncRNA (ENSECAG00000049726.1)
Source: RNAcentral
GAGAUUUUUGAGACCUUUUCCGGAAUAACUACCCUAUUUUUAUUCCUGUAAAAUUAGUCCUUUCCUGGGAGGAAGGAGUCUCCUCCGGGAGUCUGGGGUCCUUCCGCUGCCCCGGAGAGAUGCUGCGGCCUCGGCCGGCUCAGGAUGCAGACCCAAGCAGGGCCGGGUACCAGACUGGGGUUAUGGAUUCGGGGAGAAAGACCCCACAGAGAAAGUGUCAUUCUCAUCACAUCCCAUCGAGGGUGCACGCCAUCCACAGGACUCAUCAUUGUGGAUGUUGACCUUGAUCCUCCAUCUGAGGAAGUGUUUGUCCCGUGUUAUCCAGGAAAAGCGAAUCACCAAAACGACGAGUUUGCAGCAGAGAAAGGGUUUAUUCACGAGGCAGCCCAGCGAGGAGACGGGAGAGCAAAUCUCAAAUCUGCCUCCUCGAAAAAUGGGGAUUUGGGACAUUUAUGGGCUAAAGGGGUAGGGUGGUCUGAAGUGUGGAGCUGGAUGAUUGGAGGGGAGGAGG